CCUACGGGUGGCAGCAGUGGGGAAUAUUGGGCAAUGGGCGCAAGCCUGACCCAGUAACGCCGCGUGAAGGAAGAAGGCUUUCGGGUUGUAAACUUCUUUUAUUGAGGACGAAACAAAUGACGGUACUCAAUGAAUAAGCCACGGCUAACUACGUGCCAGCAGCCGCGGUAAUACGUAGGAUCCGAGCGUUAUCCGGAUUCAUUGGGUUUAAAGGGUGCGUAGGUUGUUUUAUAAGUUAGCGGUGAAAUACCGAUGCUCAACAUCGGGGCUGCCGCUGAUACUGUAGGACUAGAGAUCGGAUGCAGCAGGCGGAAUGUGUAGUGUAGCGGUGAAAUGCAUAGAUAUUACACAGAACACCGAUUGCGAAGGCAGCUUGCUAGGCCGGAUCUGACACUGAUGCACGAAAGCGUGGGGAUCGAACAGGAUUAGAUACCCUUGUAGUC
This 443-nucleotide ribosomal RNA is filed under the name uncultured bacterium. Its description in RNAcentral is "partial 16S ribosomal RNA". It matches the Rfam family "Bacterial small subunit ribosomal RNA", at positions 338 to 795 of the family's 1533-position model. The record is from RNAcentral.